GUUUUCUCAAAGUACCAGCGAAAUUGUAAUUCAAAAAGAAUGUAUACAAUUCAACCCAGAGGUGGUGGAGAGAGCAAAACCGGCCAGGGGAAACCAUCCCUUGGGGAAACCAUACCUAUCCCUUUUGGGCAGGCAGGGGACAGCCAUAAGUAACAGCAAUAAAUCUCGUCAAAAUUGUUGGCUAAAUACGAAUACGUCUCCUUGUUUAAGCUUGUUAAAAAAGAAUAUAA
RNAcentral lists this unclassified non-coding RNA (230 nucleotides) under Hevea brasiliensis (rubber tree). Lineage: Eukaryota; Viridiplantae; Streptophyta; Magnoliopsida; Malpighiales; Euphorbiaceae. The record is from RNAcentral.